GCGUUGUGGCUAUGGCUACCACGCUUACGACGGGUAGCCGGCCUGAGAGGGCGACCGGCCACACUGGGACUGAGAUACGGCCCAGACUCCUACGGGAGGCAGCAGUGGGGAAUAUUGCACAAUGGGCGAAAGCCUGAUGCAGCGACGCCGCGUGAGGGAUGACGGCCUUCGGGUUGUAAACCUCUUUCAGCAGGGACGAAGCGAAAGUGACGGUACCUGCAGAAGAAGCACCGGCCAACUACGUGCCACCAGCCGCGGCCG
This 261-nucleotide ribosomal RNA is filed under the name actinomycete AC9. Its description in RNAcentral is "partial 16S ribosomal RNA". It matches the Rfam family "Bacterial small subunit ribosomal RNA", at positions 247 to 523 of the family's 1533-position model. Lineage: Bacteria; Bacillati; Actinomycetota; Actinomycetes; Actinomycetales. The record is from RNAcentral.